GGACUACCGGGGUAUCUAAUCCUGUUUGCUCCCCACGCUUUCGCGCCUCAGCGUCAGUUAUGGUCCAGAAAGCCGCCUUCGCCACUGGUGUUCCUCCCGAUCUCUACGCAUUUCACCGCUACACCGGGAAUUCCGCUUUCCUCUCCCACACUCAAGCCCGCCAGUUUCCAAAGCAAUUCCCACCUUGAAAGCGGGACUUCCACUCCAGACUUAGCAGGCCGCCUACGCGCCCUUUACGCCCAAUCAUUCCGGACAACGCUCGCCCCCUACGUAUUACCGCGGCUGCUGGCAC
Molecule: ribosomal RNA, 292 nt
Filed under: uncultured bacterium
Lineage: Bacteria
Description: partial 16S ribosomal RNA
Source: RNAcentral